AUUACAGGCAUGAGCCACUGCGCCCGGCCAGAAACAGACAUUCUUAUUCCUACAGAGCCCGUCAUGACAACAGCUGCCCUGCAGCACCUCUUCCAGACAUCACAAUGGGAAACAGGAAAUACGCUGUCCCUCUCCAACCUCUGCCUUCAUCUCCCCUCCCCUUGUACAAGUUCCUUCACAGAAGUUCUUUCACAUAAAUUUUGUGCAAAUGGAUUCCUGUGGACUUCAACUCUGACAAGUCUGAAUCCCAGUGGAAAUGCAAGUUAGCCUCAAACUGAGAACCUCAUACUACAUUCAGAAUAUGUUUUCAUGUUUCCAAAAUGUCACCAACAAUGAGAUGACAGGAACCUGAACCAAAAGGAUGAGAGUAGAGAUGGAAAGUAAAUGUUGUUACAAAGGCUAAAUCAGAAAUUUGUCCCAGAUCUAGUAUGGAUCAUGAAGAAGAAGAUAGAAUGAAAGAACACUCUUACCAUUCUGAGUGCCGAAAGCAGGAGGUGGUUCCUAAAAAUAUGAAGUUUGGGUAUCCUAUACAAUGAGAGAAGAAUGUCUAUCUUCAUUAUGUUCAAGUACCCAGAUAAAUGAACCUGCUGUUAUAAGCUCUUCAAGAAUGCCAUUAUCAUUGCUUACCCAGGCUUUUGGAGAUUAUUUUGCAGACUUGAAGAGGUGCCAAGUUCUGUGUUCAGAUUAGUACAGGGAGAAAACAGAAUGUUCCAGAGUUUCAUAACUUAGGGGACAGGGUGGGAGAGCCAAUAUCAGAGUCAGAUGUAGUCAUAUUUCUUUGUGGUUUCUCAUAAUGUUUUUAAUGAAUUUUUUAAAAAUACCUCAUGUAAACUGUAAUAUGGAUAAUUAAAACCAGAGAAGCAGGAGAACUCUAAAUGCGACAGAAAGACCCUCACAAGAGGGAGACGCAAACUUAGAAGGUAGA
Molecule: long non-coding RNA, 925 nt
Filed under: Homo sapiens (human)
Lineage: Eukaryota; Metazoa; Chordata; Mammalia; Primates; Hominidae
Description: HSALNT0296094
Source: RNAcentral